This 567-nucleotide ribosomal RNA is filed under the name uncultured bacterium. Its description in RNAcentral is "bacterial SSU rRNA". It matches the Rfam family "Bacterial small subunit ribosomal RNA", at positions 224 to 783 of the family's 1533-position model. The record is from RNAcentral.
GAUGGCCUUGCGGUGCAUUAGCUAGUUGGUGGGGUAACGGCCCACCAAGGCGACGAUGCAUAGCCGACCUGAGAGGGUGAUCGGCCACACUGGGACUGAGACACGGCCCAGACUCCUACGGGAGGCAGCAGUAGGGAAUCUUCCACAAUGGACGAAAGUCUGAUGGAGCAACGCCGCGCGAGUGAUGAAGGUUUUCGGAUCGUAAAACUCUGUUGUAAGGGAAGAACACGUACGAGAGGAAAUGCUCGUACCUUGACGGUACCUUACGAGAAAGCCACGGCUAACUACGUGCCAGCAGCCGCGGUAAUACGUAGGUGGCAAGCGUUGUCCGGAAUUAUUGGGCGUAAAGCGCGCGCAGGCGGCCUUUUAAGUCUGAUGUGAAAGCCCCCGGCUCAACCGGGGAGGGCCAUUGGAAACUGGAAGGCUUGAGUACAGAAGAGAAGAGUGGAAUUCCACGUGUAGCGGUGAAAUGCGUAGAGAUGUGGAGGAACACCAGUGGCGAAGGCGACUCUUUGGUCUGUAACUGACGCUGAGGCGCGAAAGCGUGGGGAGCAAACAGGAUUAGAU